UACGAAGGGAGCUAGCGUUGUUCGGAAUCACUGGGCGUAAAGCGCACGUAGGCGGAUGUGUCAGUCAGGGGUGAAAUCCCGGAGCUCAACUUCGGAACUGCCUUUGAUACAGCACGUCUUGAGUCCGAUAGAGGUGGGUGGAAUUCCUAGUGUAGAGGUGAAAUUCGUAGAUAUUCGCAAGAACACCAGUGGCGAAGGCGGCUCACUGGCCCGGUAUUGACGCUGAGGUGCGAAAGCGUGGGGAGCAAACAGG
RNAcentral lists this ribosomal RNA (253 nucleotides) under uncultured bacterium. RNAcentral's name for it is "partial 16S ribosomal RNA". It matches the Rfam family "Bacterial small subunit ribosomal RNA", at positions 524 to 776 of the family's 1533-position model. The record is from RNAcentral.